This 460-nucleotide ribosomal RNA is filed under the name uncultured bacterium. RNAcentral describes it as "partial 16S ribosomal RNA". It matches the Rfam family "Bacterial small subunit ribosomal RNA", at positions 338 to 795 of the family's 1533-position model. The record is from RNAcentral.
CCUACGGGAGGCAGCAGUGAGGAAUAUUGGUCAAUGGACGAGAGUCUGAACCAGCCAAGUAGCGUGAAGGAUGACUGCCCUAUGUGUUGUAAACUUCUUUUAUAUGGGAAUAAAAUGUUCCACGUGUGGGAUUUUGUAUGUACCAUAUGAAUAAGGAUCGGCUAACUCCGUGCCAGCAGCCGCGGUAAUACGGAGGAUCCGAGCGUUAUCCGGAUUUAUUGGGUUUAAAGGGAGCGUAGGUGGAUUUUUAAGUCAGUUGUGAAAGUUUGCGGCUCAACCGUAAAAGUGCAGUUGAAACUGGCAGUCUGGAGUAGAGUAGAGGUGGGCGGAAUGCGUGGUGUAGCGGUGAAAUGCUUAGAUAUCACGAAGAACUCCGAUUGCGAAGGCAGCUCACUGGACUGAAACUGACACUGAGGCUCGAAAGUGUGGGUAUCAAACAGGAUUAGAUACCCGAGUAGUC